Molecule: ribosomal RNA, 221 nt
Filed under: Shigella boydii
Lineage: Bacteria; Pseudomonadati; Pseudomonadota; Gammaproteobacteria; Enterobacterales; Enterobacteriaceae
Also listed under: 1 other name
Description: partial 16S ribosomal RNA
Rfam family: Bacterial small subunit ribosomal RNA
Source: RNAcentral
AAAUUGAAGAGUUUGAUCAUGGCUCAGAUUGAACGCUGGCGGCAGGCCUAACACAUGCAAGUCGAACGGUAACAGGAAACAGCUUGCUGUUUCGCUGACGAGUGGCGGACGGGUGAGUAAUGUCUGGGAAACUGCCCGAUGGAGGGGGAUAACUACUGGAAACGGUAGCUAAUACCGCAUAACGUCGCAAGACCAAAGAGGGGGACCUUCGAGCCUCUUGC